RNAcentral lists this ribosomal RNA (497 nucleotides) under uncultured bacterium. Its description in RNAcentral is "partial 16S ribosomal RNA". It matches the Rfam family "Bacterial small subunit ribosomal RNA", at positions 28 to 507 of the family's 1533-position model. The record is from RNAcentral.
GAUGAACGCUGGCGGCGUGCCUAAUACAUGCAAGUCGAGCGAACAGAUGAGGAGCUUGCUCCUCUGACGUUAGCGGCGGACGGGUGAGUAACACGUGGAUAACCUACCUAUAAGACUGGGAUAACUUCGGGAAACCGGAGCUAAUACCGGAUAAUAUAUUGAACCGCAUGGUUCAAUAGUGGAAGACGGUUUUGCUGUCACUUAUAGAUGGAUCCGCGCCGCAUUAGCUAGUUGGUAAGGUAACGGCUUACCAAGGCAACGAUGCGUGGCCGACCUGAGAGGGUGAUCGGCCACACUGGAACUGAGACACGGUCCAGACUCCUACGGGAGGCAGCAGUAGGGAAUCUUCCGCAAUGGGCGAAAGCCUGACGGAGCAACGCCGCGUGAGUGAUGAAGGUCUUCGGAUCGUAAAACUCUGUUAUUAGGGAAGAACAAAUGUGUAAGUAACUAUGCACGUCUUGACGGUACCUAAUCAGAAAGCCACGGCUAACUACGUG